GCGAAAUUAGCUCAAUUGGCUAGAGCGCGUCCUUGCCAAGGACGAGGUUGCGGGUUCGAGUCCCGUAUUUCGCU
Molecule: transfer RNA, 74 nt
Filed under: candidate division SR1 bacterium Aalborg_AAW-1
Lineage: Bacteria; Candidatus Absconditibacteriota
Description: tRNA-Gly
Rfam family: tRNA
About the family: Transfer RNA (tRNA) molecules are approximately 80 nucleotides in length.
Source: RNAcentral